CUUUUAUGAUCGUGGUCUUUUUUUUUAGGGUUUUUCUCCCACCUAUUUAUCGCUGACAUUGUUCGCGCUAUAGUUAGAGUUUCGCUAUUUUUGAGUAACUAGGGUUGGAUGACGCAUAUGUUCUUUUCACAAACUUCCACCGCUUCAUUUCAUGCUUCCUCCUCUCCUCUCUAAAAUUUUCAUAUUACGCAACCACCAGAUUUUAGUGAAAUCCGCUACUUGAGAAUAAGUGUCAUGGAGGUUACACUCCUCAAAUCCCCUGCUUCAUCUCACCUCUCUCCGCUACUCUCUCUUCUUAAUUCUCUCAAGUUCUUUCUCACUCUAUCUCUCUUUCUUUUAAAUUAAUCAAUAAUACCAAGAACAAUGCAUAGGUUUUUUUAAGAUGUGGAUCUUCGUUUUAUGGGAUACUUUUUUUUUCUUUUCUCUUCUUUGGAUGAGAAUUUUUUUUCAUUUUUUUGAUGUAUUUUAUUUAUCAGCUUAAUCUGAUUAAAUUGUCAUUAUUUAUUAAAUUUCUUAUAUUUUUUGUAGCUGCUUUCCUAUUGGAACUAGGGAUGGCAAGCUUGAAUUUUUUUAUUUUUUUGCCUUUAAUAAUUUUCUAUUUUGGUUGAAGAUAUUGAUUGUAAGCUUGAUCAGGUUUUGUAAAUUUAGUGUUUUGUGGUUGAUGACAAAAUUGUGACAUUUGAUUAGAUCGCUAGUUUAAGAAAGCACAUAAGAGCAGUACAUGUUUAAGAUUUGAUUCUUUAAAUCUAGCGUGUCAUUUUUUUUCCUAUUUCCAUCAUCCAGUGUUUGAUUCUGGUCAAUAAAUCCAAUUCGACAAUGUUUAUUCUUGAAGUGGUAGACUUAGAAGAGUAGCAAAAAUUUCAUUUCAUGUAUUUUGAGAUCUCUCAUCUUCUCUUUGCUAGCUAUUGGAGCUUUUUGUUGUGGUUGAAAUGUUAUCCAGCUCAACCCUUCCUGCACUAUUGGGGCUAGUGAAUAGGUUCUUACAAUUAUUAGCUAUGUUUUUUUUUGUGGUGAAUACUAGAUCUUAAUCUAAUGUCUUCUAGCUCUACUAUUGUACUAACAAUUUCUGGGUGUUGCUUUCUUAUCUCACAUCUAAUUUCAACAGCCAUAUUUAUUUCCAUGGAGAUUAUGUUUGUUUAAUAUCAUGAUUGGAGCUGCUUUCUAGAGCUAAACUUUCUUACUUCAAUCAUUGCAAUUCAAAUGAAUAGGAAAAGGUAAUACAUGACACGUGUUAGCUUUAUUAAUUUGCUUCUGAUUUCGUGUUUUUUCUAUUUGCAUGCUUCCACUUUCUACAUCUUUGAAAUGGCAUGGUUGCAUGUAGGCAUCUUGGCUAGAUUCUUUUACCCAUAAAUUAGGCUACCAUUCUUCAUGUUAUUGGACGAUAUCCAACAUCAUGUUCUAGCCUAAUUCCAUGACUCUUUCUCUUUGACCUUUUUUAAAAUUUAUUGUUUCCAAUCUUUAUUUUUCCCUUAAUGGAUUUUUUGCUCUUUUUGAUACCUGUUUUAUUCUUUUUUUUAUGUGCUUGUAUAUCGAGAUUGGCUAGGGUAAACACUUGACAAGAUUUGUGGCCUUCACAUGCACAGUCGCGAGCCUAUUUUCUUUCUAUCUCUCUCAGGCGAACAAACGAUUGUAGUUACUCAUGAUCAUUUAAUUCAUUUUUAAAGUAGAGGCUGAUUUUUUUCUCUAAUUUUUUUUUUUGCUGAUGACAGAAUGGUUAUGAUAGAAUCUAGUAGGGGUAUUUUUGCAUUUGAUUACCUUUACAAAAGAACCCUUCCAAGUUGUUGCAAGAUCUCCUCCCCUGAUAACUUGCACUUGAGAUUCUAGAGGAUCUAUUCCACAAGAUCAAGAAAGCAGUCACAAUUAGGAAGCAUCUGGUGAGGAACAAGAAUGACAAGAAUUUCAAGUUGAAAUUGAUUUUGGUGGUAAGCAAGAUUCAACUCCAUGUUACGACAAGAAAGCAAGAGGCUUCCUCUCAAUUGGAAAUAGGUUUGAUAAUAACCAACUAGAUUUGCAUUUAGUCAUGCCAUCAAUUAGUCGAUUUUUCUCACAUGAUCUGAUGGCAUUAGAUACUUUCUACCAAAUGUUUUCCUCCAACACGUUUGCUGAUCGAGAUUAAGUGAAUCCAGGAUACCAUCUAUGGUCCUCACGAGCCGAAAUAGGAUAUACAAUUUUGGAAUGACAAACAAUAAAUUUUACCAAAACUGGAAUGCCUUUGUUAUUGAUCAUGACCUUGGAGAAGGAGAGACCCUUUUCUUUAUGUCUCAAUCUUGUAAUUCACUUGCUGUUUUGGUCUUUAGAAUGAAUGGACUUGAAAUCAUGUAUCCAUGGCAUCAUAAGUUCCACAUUUAGUUUAUUUAUUGCUAUAACAUGUACAAUUUUCUUUAAUUACUGUUACUUGUAUUUCCACUUAUUACAUUUAAUAACGUUAAUUUUCUUAUUAAUUUUUAAAUUAUAUACACACU
This is a long non-coding RNA of Coffea arabica (coffee), 2462 nucleotides long. RefSeq lists it as uncharacterized. Lineage: Eukaryota; Viridiplantae; Streptophyta; Magnoliopsida; Gentianales; Rubiaceae. The record is from RefSeq and is a predicted model, not a curated record.